This 180-nucleotide ribosomal RNA is filed under the name uncultured bacterium. RNAcentral's name for it is "partial 16S ribosomal RNA". It matches the Rfam family "Bacterial small subunit ribosomal RNA", at positions 1319 to 1500 of the family's 1533-position model. The record is from RNAcentral.
CAUGAAGUCGGAAUUGCUGUAAUCGCGGAUCAGCAUGCCGCGGUGAAUACGUUCCCGGGCCUUGUACACACCGCCCGUCACACCAUGGGAGCCGGUAAUACCCGAAGUCAGUAGUCCAACCACGUGAGGACGCUGCCGAAGGUAGGAUUGGCGACUGGGGUGAAGUCGUAACAAGGUAUC